CGUAGUUGGAUUUCGGCGAUGCGUACGGUGGUCCGCCGCAAGGCGAGCACUGCCGUGGUGUCGCUUUUUUUCUCGGCGCCGCCGUGUGCCCUUGAUUGGGUGUGCGGAUUCUGGAGCCGGGACCUUUACUUUGAAAAAAUUAGAGUGUUCAAAGCAGGCGUUUCGCUUGAAUAGAUUAGCAUGGAAUAAUGGAAUAGGACUUUGGUCUUAUUUUGUUGGUUUCUAGGACCGAAGUAAUGA
This 240-nucleotide ribosomal RNA is filed under the name uncultured eukaryote. Its description in RNAcentral is "partial 18S ribosomal RNA". It matches the Rfam family "Eukaryotic small subunit ribosomal RNA", at positions 629 to 868 of the family's 1831-position model. The record is from RNAcentral.